RNAcentral lists this long non-coding RNA (1081 nucleotides) under Panthera leo (lion). Its description in RNAcentral is "lncRNA (ENSPLOG00000019956.1)". The record is from RNAcentral. Lineage: Eukaryota; Metazoa; Chordata; Mammalia; Carnivora; Felidae.
UAUGUGUCUAAGGCUGCUCGCGGCGGGCGGCGGGCGGCCCCGUCUUGGCCGUGUCCUUGCCCGUUGGGUACUCGGCGUCCCCUCCAGGGCCGGGGCCAGCGGCCGCGGAGUCACCGAGUGGGCCGUGGGCACUCCGCUUGGCGGGCGUGCUGGGGGCCUGGGCCGCCUGCCCGUUCUUCUCGUCUGAAAAAAGUUGUUUAAUUACGUCAAAGAAGUUACUCAAUGGGCUGCCUGGGUACACAGAACAGAAGACAAAAGAGAAAAAAGAAAAAAGAAAAAAAAAAGAGAAAGAGGAAGGGGGGUAAGGAGAGAGAAAGAGAACAAACAAACAAAUGAACGAAAGGGUCUCCACGAGAGAAAGAAAACCCAACGAGAUGAGGUCUGAGCCGGGCGUGGCAGGUGGGGGGGGGGGGGGGGGGGGGGGGCAAAGGGGGGGGGGGGGGCAAGCAGGUGGAGAGACCCCUCCUCCCUCACCGCGCCUGGCCCUGAGGCCCUGGCCCCCCUUGCACCUCAGCCGCCCCAUGGCCUGGCCACCCGGCCAGCCCCACUCUGGAGACCGAGGCAGAAAAGCCACCACUGCCACAAGCCCCAGGGCUGAGCAGGACCCUGGGGCCCCCGGCUGCCUCCUCGCACGGGACCAGGGAGCCUUCUCUGGGCUGGGGAGGCUGGAGCCAGCGUGCCCGCCACGCUCCUCCCGGGAGGCUUGGAGCCCGGCCCCCGGCCAGCCCAGGCAGCACCGCAUGGACACAGAGGUCAGCAGCAGACACACAGAUGGACGGAUGGGUGAACAGGCAUGGAGAGCUUGGGUAUGGGAGGGCCGGGGGCAGGCAGCCAGAGUGGGGGCCCUGAUCCCAGAGGAAGAAGGCAGAGAUGGUUUGACCACCCCCACCUGGGGGCCUUGUCCUACUGUCCAGGUGCCUCCGCUCUACCUCUCAAACCUGACUCCCCCAGCCCGGAGCAGUGGGCAGGGGAGUGCGUGCACAGCACCCUCCCCCACCCCACCCUUCAGUGGACAGAAAGCUUUUACAGCAGCCUCCUGCCCAAGGUCUGGAGUCCACCCAGACCCCAGACCAGAGCCCAC